This is a non-coding RNA of Bemisia tabaci, 1156 nucleotides long. The record is from RefSeq and is a predicted model, not a curated record. Lineage: Eukaryota; Metazoa; Arthropoda; Insecta; Hemiptera; Aleyrodidae.
AAACUUUCACGGAACUGACGAGUAAAUCUGCAGAAACAGAUUCUACUCGGCCUUAAUCCCUGAAAAUUUCAAAAGCUUGAAGAAUGGAUGUGCCGAAAUCCCCAUGAUGUCUACGGACAUAGUACAAGUAUGUCUUCUGCUGGAGAAUUUAGAACGCUAAGUUCCGACCCACCCGUGGUUUGAUAUGCCAGUGAUUAUAAUUGUGAGGCGUCUCAAGAAAAGAAAAGAAAAGGAAAUGCGCUGGGGGUCGAAGAUGAAGGCCCGCAUACCACUAGGAAAAAUUAUUCGGUCAAUCUGUUGCGUAGCGAAGCAAAAUUCUCAGGCAGUCGACGCGAAAUCUCAAGAAACUUUACUCUGCUCUAAUGCGUCAAUACUCUACGCAAUCAAAUCAAUAUAGUAAAAAAAUGUUCAUUGCCUGUAUGCAAGCUCCUUGUUGCUCAGUUAACUCGGUUGCCGUUUGAGAAUUUGAAUUUUUCACAUCAUCCAGAUAUUUUACCAGCAUUCGCCUGCCUUCAUGCCUUGCUUUAUCGUGCAAGAGAGUCUAGCGCCAUCGGCCCAAUACAUCCACAUGUACAUCCGUCUCUCUCAGAGCCACCAACCCGUUGAUCGCACUCGUGAAGAACGUUUGCUUGGUCAGAAGUCUCAUUUCUGUUUGUACUCAAAUUCUUGCGAAGCAAUGAGUAAUAAUUGCUGAACGAUGAUACCGUCAAACCGGACAAAUUCACUGCGAUACAGAUGUUGUGAUAAGAAGCCAAGACUGUGGCUUUUCUUGGUCAAGACAAGGAAAAAAUCAUCGAACUAGUUUAUUUCAGAAUUUGUUAGAAAUGUUUAUUACCAACUAGGAAGGAGAAUAAGAAGACCAACGAUACGAAGGAAUGUACAUUUUGAUCAAAAUUCGGACAGGAAACAUUGUUACGACUCAUAAAUCAAAGCUUCCAACGGCGAAGACUUCGGGAUGUAAUGGCAGAGUAUUUUUCCCCAAUAUAAGGUUUUAGGGCUUAAUGGAAUACACAAAUUUGUAAAAAGCUUGCGCACCGUAUAUUUGCACGGAAGUCAUUUUCUAAAGCCGCGGCGGCAAUUGCUUAUCUAUCAAAUGGCUUUCCGAGCCAACUUACGAUACGCAAGCUUUAUUUUGUAAAAUUGUACUGUAGUUAAA